CUACGGGGGGCUGCAGUGGGGAAUAUUGGACAAUGGGCGCAAGCCUGAUCCAGCAAUACCGCGUGUGUGAAGAAGGCCUGCGGGUUGUAAAGCACUUUCAAUUGUGAAGAAAAGCGAGGGCUUAAUACGCUCUUGUCUUGACGUUAACUUUAGAAGAAGCACCGGCUAACUCUGUGCCAGCAGCCGCGGUAAUACAGAGGGUGCGAGCGUUAAUCGGAAUUACUGGGCGUAAAGCGUACGUAGGCGGUUUAGUAAGUCAGAUGUGAAAGCCCUGGGCUCAACCUGGGAACUGCAUUUGAAACUGCUAGACUAGAGUGUGGUAGAGGGAAGUGGAAUUCCGGGUGUAGCGGUGAAAUGCGUAGAUAUCCGGAGGAACACCAGUGGCGAAGGCGACUUCCUGGACCAACACUGACGCUGAGGUACGAAAGCGUGGGUAGCAAACAGGAUUAGAUACCCUCGUAGUC
Molecule: ribosomal RNA, 464 nt
Filed under: uncultured bacterium
Lineage: Bacteria
Description: partial 16S ribosomal RNA
Rfam family: Bacterial small subunit ribosomal RNA
Source: RNAcentral